Molecule: ribosomal RNA, 728 nt
Filed under: uncultured bacterium
Lineage: Bacteria
Description: bacterial SSU rRNA
Rfam family: Bacterial small subunit ribosomal RNA
Source: RNAcentral
AACCGGAUUAGAUACCCUGGUAGUCCACGCUGUAAACGAUGAAUACUAGGUGUCUGGUGUCAAAGCUAGGUGCCGCAGCUAACGCAUUAAGUAUUCCGCCUGGGGAGUACGCACGCAAGUGUGAAACUCAAAGGAAUUGACGGGGACCCGCACAAGUAGCGGAGCAUGUGGUUUAAUUCGAAGCAACGCGAAGAACCUUACCAGGUCUUGACAUCCUUCUGACCGAUCCUUAGCCGGAUCUUCCCUUCGGGGCAGAAGAGACAGGUGGUGCAUGGUUGUCGUCAGCUCGUGUCGUGAGAUGUUGGGUUAAGUCCCGCAACGAGCGCAACCCUUGCCUUUAGUUGCCAUCAGGUUAUGCUGGGCACUCUAGAGGGACUGCCGGUGACAAACCGGAGGAAGGUGGGGAUGACGUCAAAUCAUCAUGCCCCUUAUGAUCUGGGCUACACACGUGCUACAAUGGUCGGUACAACGGGCAGCGAAGUCGAGAGAUGGAGCGAAUCCUAAAAAGCCGAUCCCAGUUCGGAUUGUGGGCUGAAACUCGCCCACAUGAAGUUGGAGUUGCUAGUAAUCGCGGAUCAGAAUGCCGCGGUGAAUGCGUUCCCGGGUCUUGUACACACCGCCCGUCACACCAUGGAAGUUGGGGGGACCCGAAGCCAGUGAUCCAACCGUAAGGAGGAAGCUGUCGAAGGUAAAACCAAUGACUGGGGUGAAGUCGUAACAAGGUAACC